CCUACGGGUGGCAGCAGUGGGGAAUAUUGCACAAUGGGGGAAACCCUGAUGCAGCGACGCCGCGUGAGUGAAGAAGUAUUUCGGUAUGUAACGCUCUAUCAGCAGGGAAGAAAAUGACGGUACCUGAUUAAGAAGCCCCGGCUAACUACGUGCCAGCAGCCGCGGUAAGACGGAGGGGGCAAGCGUUAUCCGGAUUUACUGGGAGGAAAGGGAGCGUAGACGGCAGCACAAGUCUGGAGUGAAAUGCCGGGGCUUAACCCCGGAACUGCUUUGGAAACUGUGCAGCGAGAGUGCAGGAGAGGUAAGUGGAAUUCCUAGUGUAGCGGGGAAAUGCGUAGAUAUUAGGAGGAACACCAGUGGCGAAGGCGGCUUACUGGACUGUAACUGACGUUGAGGCUCGAAAGCGUGGGGAGCAAAUAGGAUUAGAUACCCGAGUAGUC
Molecule: ribosomal RNA, 440 nt
Filed under: uncultured bacterium
Lineage: Bacteria
Description: partial 16S ribosomal RNA
Rfam family: Bacterial small subunit ribosomal RNA
Source: RNAcentral